GACGAACGCUGGCGGCGUGCUUAACACAUGCAAGUCGAACGGAAAGGCCCUGCUGUUGUGGGGUGCUCGAGUGGCGAACGGGUGAGUAACACGUGAGUAACCUGCCCUGGACUUUGGGAUAACUUCAGGAAACUGGGGCUAAUACCGGAUAGGAUCUCCUGCUGCAUGGUGGGGGUUGGAAAGUUUCGGCGGUUGGGGAUGGACUCGCGGCUUAUCAGCUUGUUGGUGGGGUAGUGGCUUACCAAGGCUUUGACGGGUAGCCGGCAUGAGAGGGUGACCGGCGACAUUGGGACUGAGAGACGGCCCAGACUCGUACGGGAGGCAGCAGUGGGGAAUAUUGCACAAUGGGCGGAAGCCUGAUGAAGAAACGCCGCGUGCGGGAUGACGGCCUUCGGGUUGUAAACCGCUUUCGCCUGUGACGAAGCGUGAGUGACGGUAAUGGGUAAAGAAGCACCGGCUAACUACGUG
Molecule: ribosomal RNA, 468 nt
Filed under: uncultured bacterium
Lineage: Bacteria
Description: partial 16S ribosomal RNA
Rfam family: Bacterial small subunit ribosomal RNA
Source: RNAcentral